This 537-nucleotide ribosomal RNA is filed under the name Uwebraunia dekkeri. RNAcentral's name for it is "eukaryotic LSU rRNA". The stretch from base 233 to 386 matches the Rfam family "5.8S ribosomal RNA". Lineage: Eukaryota; Fungi; Ascomycota; Dothideomycetes; Mycosphaerellales; Dissoconiaceae. The record is from RNAcentral.
UCUUGGUCAUUUAGAGGAAGUAAAAGUCGUAACAAGGUCUCCGUAGGUGAACCUGCGGAGGGAUCAUUACCAGAAGACGCCUCGGCGGAAACGCCGGGGCCUUCGUCCAACCCUUUGUGAACGUAUCUCUAUUGCCCCGGGGGAACCCCGCCUGUCAUGGGCGUGGGCCCCCCCGGUGGCCAACUCAAACUCUGUUUUUAUUGCCGUCUGAGUAACAAACAAAUCAAAACAAAACUUUCAACAACGGAUCUCUUGGUUCUGGCAUCGAUGAAGAACGCAGCGAAAUGCGAUAAGUAAUGUGAAUUGCAGAAUUCAGUGAAUCAUCGAAUCUUUGAACGCACAUUGCGCCCCCUGGUAUUCCGGGGGGCAUGCCUGUUCGAGCGUCAUUACAACCAAUCCAGCCCCGCUGGGUAUUGGGCGUCGCGGCCUGCCGCGCGCCUCAAAGUCUUCGGCGGAAGCCGCCCGUUCCUCUGCGUGAUGACACAUCGUCGCUUGGGACACGGGGGUGAGCGCCCGGAAAACAUCGGCGGAGACGUC